Theobroma cacao (cacao) is the source of this 1676-nucleotide RNA transcript. It is a transcript of the gene named Proteasome component (PCI) domain protein, with no coding region annotated. NCBI's taxonomy places the organism in Eukaryota, Viridiplantae, Streptophyta, Magnoliopsida, Malvales, Malvaceae. The record is from RefSeq and is a predicted model, not a curated record.
UGAUGUAAUUUAUAUAAAUAAUUUUGCAAAAUCAUAUAAACCCUUCCCCCAAAGAGAGGCUAAACUAGAAGGAAGUUAAAGCGGGACAGCUUUGAUGUCCCGAAUUCUCUCACUCUCAGGGGAGACGAUCGAAUCGUAAUUUUAUUUCAACCCUAAAAAACUCUCCGUCGCGAAAUCCACCGUCGCCAGCGCCAAACCCUAGGUUUUAUAUUUAUUUUUCGGUUCUCUGAAUGCUUUUCUAUCUGUAAAUUUUUUUUUUUGGAAGAUGGAUAUCGAGCAAAAACAAGCAGACUUGAUCGAUCACUUCGUGAAGCAAGCGUCGGCUCAGCAGGGCUCGGCUCUUGGCUCCGUAAUCCUCGAAGCGACGUCGCAUCCUUCCCUUUUCGCCUUCUCUGAGAUUCUUGCCGUGCCCAGUGUCGCUGAGCUUGAACGAACUGAAAACUCAGUGUACCUUGAGGUGCUUCGGUUGUUUGCACAUGGCACAUGGAGUGAUUACAAGGGUAAUAGUGGUCGUCUUCCUCAACUGGUCCCUGAUCAAGUCCUCAAGCUAAAGCAACUUACUGUCCUUACACUUGCUGAGACAAACAAGGUGCUACCAUAUGAUCAACUAAUGCUGGAGUUAGAUGUCACAAAUGUCCGCGAGCUCGAAGAUUUUCUUAUCAAUGAAUGCAUGUAUGCGGGUAUAGUUAGAGGAAAGCUGGAUCAGCUGCGAAGAUGUUUUGAGGUCCAAUUUGCUGCUGGGAGGGAUUUGAGGCCAGGACAACUUGGGAGUAUGAUACAAACACUGUCAAACUGGUUGGGUACAUCAGACAACUUACUUAUCUCAAUUCAAGAGAAGAUAAAAUGGGCUGAUACAAUGAGCGAGUUGGACAAGAAACAUCGUAAGGAGGUUGAAGAUAGGGUGGAAGAAGUAAAGAAGUCCCUCACCCUCAAGAAAAGUUUGGAGCUUAAAGCUGCAAUUUCCUAGUUAACAUGCAAAUGAGUGAGUUUAACUGGAUCUAGAAUUAGCAUGCCAUGACUUCACUCAUUCAAUACCAAGAUAUGUUGGUCGAUGUGGCUUACUUACGUUGUGGCAGAAGUUACACACUGUAAGCAGGCCGACGUUGACUUCCGAGGGCUCGAGGAGAUCUACUCUGAACCUGGUGGAGUGAUGGACUAUGAGGAAGACCGAAGCCGACCCAAGAGGAGACGGCAUCCAAUAUCCUGAAGCGAAGAGCAUGCUACUUAUUGGACAGGUGUUUAGGUGACCAGCCAGAUUUUUGUUCAUGGCAUUCUAGCAACAGAUGAUUCUGCGUUUGGGACAGUGAUACUGCUCUUGGUAGUGAAUUUGUCAUUGUUGCUUUAGAAUUGGAGAAUUGUUAGCUUGUCUUGAACCCAUUGUUAUUCCUAUCGAGUUGGGAAGAACGAGACCAGAUCUGGUGGUGCGGCUAAAAAAUUUUUAAGCAGUUGGUUACUCAAGAUUUACAAAUUCAAAACUUAAUUGUACUUCCUGAUGUUAUUACACCUAGUGCUGCAUCGUGAAGAAUUUAUCUUUCUUAUAAUUUACAAGCUGUUACAUUCUGUCUUGUGGUUAAUAUUGGUUCCAUCAAUUUGGAAAAGUUGUAGGUAUGUGUCUUGAGCAAAUCAUGUUUGACCUAAUCUUCAAUGUAACACUAUUUGCUCCACAGCUUUUUUCA